This is a long non-coding RNA of Passer domesticus (house sparrow), 1909 nucleotides long. RefSeq lists it as uncharacterized. The transcript is spliced from 3 exons. The record is from RefSeq and is a predicted model, not a curated record. NCBI's taxonomy places the organism in Eukaryota, Metazoa, Chordata, Aves, Passeriformes, Passeridae.
AGAAGAGCUUAAUCUCUUACCCAGUUGAGGCCAAGGGUGGUUCUGGUACCUCCUCCUCUCUUGCUCCCCUCACCUGCCUGCUGGGUGUGAGAUUUCCUCUGGGAUCCCUCCUCCAUGGCCUUCUCCGUCUCACCCAUCACAUCACAACCAGGCAGAGGGGGCUGUCACGAACACAUCAUCCAUCCAACACUGAUGUGAGGGUAUCUCAAGUGCUUGCAAAUUUUGGGGUUUUGUUCUUCCUGCAGAUGAAAUGGCUUUCUUCAUAAAAGCUUCCAUUGUUCUUUGGAAAAUACCUGUGUGGAGAGCUUUUGCUCAGUCUGCCUUUUGUACUUCAGCAGGCUCCCAUCACUCCUGCAGGGUGUCAGAGCCAUGAGUGUGGGGCACAAGAGAGGAGCCCGUGCACAUUAUCCAGCAUGUUGUGGGCAGGAGACCAAAGGCUGGCUCAGCUUGGAGAAGCACUUCAAACCACAGCACCUACCUGUGUUCAACCUGCUUUGAUGCCCAGUUGGACCAGCAAUCAGCACAGUGGUGUGGCCUAAGGAUAGAAGCAAUGUCCUUUGGGUAAAGGGAGCUGUGAAUAAAGUCUAUAAUUCCUUGAGACCUCCAGAACUGGUUCCUCUGUGUGAAGUCACCAGUUCUGAUGCUGUCACUAGGCUGAAGAUUGGACAUGUUGGCACAUCUGUACUUCAAUCAAACUUCCACACAGCUGGGUCAAGCUCUCAGCCUGGAACUGAGGAUGAUGGAUUGAAAGCUGCCAGCUUGCUAAUGAGGCAGCCUCGCCUCGGGGAGGGGAAAUCUGGGCAAACAGGUACAACUGCAAGAGGAGACAGCUGCAAUCAAAGCAUCUUCUCUGAGGACCUGGUAGUCCUGGGGGUGAAAGGAUCCAGCUGCGAGCACUUCUCAGCUCUGUGCAGUCAGUACAGGGCAGCUGCAGGGCCCAGGGAAUUCCCUCUGCAUUUCCCAGGGCAUCAUGGAUAGACCCUGCACAGCUGUUAAAAUGUGCCCUGCUGCUGGGGAUUUGCAUCUACCUGCAAAUUUCCUUGCAGCAGGAAGAGUUUUGUGCGUACACAUGGAACAAAACAAAAUAAAACCAAAAUUGAGCGAGAGAGAAAGAAAGGCAACACGAAAAAAACAGGCAAACAGAGAAAGAUAGUGGCAAAUGUCACUGUUCAACAAAGCUCAGUUUGAAUGAAGGUCAAUGAAGCUGGUUGGCAAUUAGCCUUUGGCUGUGUGAAGAAAGCACUUUUGACUAGUUCUUGAAUUAUUCUGCAGAGGUUGGUGUUAUAUAUACUCCCAAAGUCCUCCUAUGCCACCCAGCUUGCAAGCAUAAAGCCAGGAAAAAAUUUUACUUUUUGCCAGUUGGCUAUAUAAUUUUCAGUGGCCAAAAGCCAACUAGUUGCUAAUUGUUAUUGCAGUGAAACUGAAAACAAAGCUCUUGGUAUGAAUACUUGGACUGUUUGUUAUAUUCCCUCUUGAAAUUCUCCAGGAAUUGCCACGAACUGCAGCUCACACUCCCAGCUCCCAAAAAGGAUGAGCUGGGUGCCUGUGUCUGCACACAGCACCUGGUCUGCAGCCUUGCUGAAUACUUUCCAAAGGCUUUCUACAGGUGAGAUUAGCUGUCUGCUAAGAAAUUGUUAUUUAUGUACUGUGCAUGCUUAGAGUAUUUUCCAAAAAUCGAGUGUUUGCAGAUCCAUGGAGGCCUCAGCAAAUGUGUGUGAUGGGAGAGAGCUGGUGAAAGGUGAAAUUGUUUUCAAUAGUAAGGGAGAUAAGUCACAUCUAUUUGUUAUUAUUUGUGGAAGAAACUCCUGAGGCAAGGAACAAGUCUUUGCUGGGUAUUUGUGCAGCAGCCAGUACAACCGAGUGCUAAGCCACGACAGGGGAAAGAGGGCACUUCCAUAAUUCAAUAAAU